UAGGGAAUUUUCGUCAAUGGGGGCAACCCUGAACGAGCAAUGCCGCGUGAGCGAAGAAGGUCUUCGGAUUGUAAAGCUCUGUUGCCGGGGAAAAAGGAAGGAAAGAGGGAAACUGCUUUUCUUUGG
RNAcentral lists this ribosomal RNA (126 nucleotides) under uncultured bacterium. Its description in RNAcentral is "partial 16S ribosomal RNA". It matches the Rfam family "Bacterial small subunit ribosomal RNA", at positions 355 to 475 of the family's 1533-position model. The record is from RNAcentral.